AACGAACGCUGGCGGCAUGCCUAACACAUGCAAGUCGAACGAGACCUUCGGGUCUAGUGGCGCACGGGUGCGUAACGCGUGGGAACCUGCCCUUAGGUUCGGAAUAACUCCCCGAAAGGGGUGCUAAUACCGGAUAAUGUCUUCGGACCAAAGAUUUAUCGCCUUUGGAUGGGCCCGCGUUGGAUUAGCUAGUUGGUAGGGUAAAAGCCUACCAAGGCGACGAUCCAUAGCUGGUCUGAGAGGAUGAUCAGCCACACUGGGACUGAGACACGGCCCAGACUCCUACGGAAGGCAGCAGUGGGGAAUAUUGAACAAUGGGCGAAAGCCUGAUCCAGCAAUGCCGCGUGAGUGAUGAAGGCCUUAGGGUUGUAAAGCUCUUUUACCCGGGAUGAUAAUGACAGUACCGGAGAAUAAGCUCCGGCUAACUCCGUG
RNAcentral lists this ribosomal RNA (432 nucleotides) under uncultured bacterium. Its description in RNAcentral is "partial 16S ribosomal RNA". It matches the Rfam family "Bacterial small subunit ribosomal RNA", at positions 29 to 507 of the family's 1533-position model. The record is from RNAcentral.